RNAcentral lists this ribosomal RNA (384 nucleotides) under uncultured prokaryote. RNAcentral describes it as "bacterial SSU rRNA". It matches the Rfam family "Archaeal small subunit ribosomal RNA", at positions 341 to 725 of the family's 1478-position model. The record is from RNAcentral.
GCGAAAACUUUACAAUGCUGGCAACAGCGAUAAGGGAACCUCGAGUGCCAGGUUACAAAUCUGGCUGUCGAGAUACCUAAAAAGCAUUUCAUAGCAAGGGCCGGACAAGACCGGUGCCAGCCGCCGCGGUAACACCGGCGGCUCGAGUGGUAACCGUUAUUAUUGGGUCUAAAGGGUCUGUAGCCGGCCGGAUAAGUCUCUUGAGAAAUCUGGCAGCUUAACUGUCAGGCUUUCAGGAGAUACUGUCUGGCUCGAGGCCGGGAGAGGUGAGAGGUACUUCAUGGGUAGGGGUGAAAUCUUGUAAUCCUUGAAGGACCACCAGUGGCGGAGGCGGCUCACCAUAACGGACCUGACGGCAAGGGACGAAAGCUAGGGGCACGAACC